UAGAAAGAUUUCGUGUAGUCUUUGUCAC
This 28-nucleotide non-coding RNA is filed under the name Rattus norvegicus (Norway rat). Lineage: Eukaryota; Metazoa; Chordata; Mammalia; Rodentia; Muridae. The record is from RNAcentral.